UGAAUACGAGACGCUAAGGCGUUGAAGUAGUGUAUAUCAUACUUCCAAGAAAAGCUUGCACUGUCAUAGAUAAAAAACGCCUGUACCAUAACCGACACAGGUGGGUAGGUAGAGUAUACUAAGGGGCGCGAGAUAACUCUCUCUAAGGAACUCGGCAAAAUAACUCCGUAACUUCGGGAGAAGGAGUGCCUUAUUUAUAAGGUUGCAAUAACAAGAUCCAAGCAACUGUUUAUCAAAAACACAGGUCUCCGCUAAGUCGUAAGACGAUGUAUGGGGGCUGACGCCUGCCCAGUGCCAGAAGGUUAAAGAAGUUGGUUAGCAAUAGCGAAGCUGAUAACUGAAGCCCUGGUGAACGGCGGCCGUAACUAUAACGGUCCUAAGGUAGCGAAAUUCCUUGUCGGGUAAGUUCCGACCCGCACGAAAGGCGUAAUGAUUUGGAUACUGUCUCGGAGAGGGGCUCGGUGAAAUAGACUUGUCUGUGAAGAUGCGGACUACCUGCACCAGGACAGAAAGACCCUAUGAAGCUUUACUGUAACUUGAAAUUGAAAUUGGACUUUAUUCGCGCAGUAUAGGUGGGAGGCGUUGAUUGUAAUCUUGCGGGAUUAUUGGAGCCAUCAGUGAGAUACCACCCUUGUAAUGUUAGAUUUCUAACUUUGAAUCAUUAUCUGGUCAAAGAACAGUUUCAGGCGGGCAGUUUGACUGGGGCGGUCGCCUCCUAAACGGUAACGGAGGCGUACAAAGGUUUCCUCUGAACGGUUAGAAAUCGUAUCUAGAGUGUAAAGGCAUAAGGAAGCUUGACUGUGAGACCUACAAGUCGAGCAGGGACGAAAGUCGGUCUUAGUGAUCUGACGGUACUGAGUGGAAAGGCCGUCACUCAACGGAUAAAAGUUACUCUAGGAUAACAGGCUGAUCUCCCCCAAGAGUUCACAUCGACGGGGAGGUUUGGCACCUCGAUGUCGGCUCAUCGCAUCCUGGGGCGGUAGUACGUCCCAAGGGUUGGGCUGUUCGCCCAUGAAAGCGGUACGCGAGCUGGGUUCAGAACGUCGUGAGACAGUUCGGUCCAUAUCCGGUGUAGGCGUUAGAAUAUUGAGAGGAGCCUUCUUUAGUACGAGAGGACCGAGAAGGACAUACCUCUGGUGUACCAGUUAUCGUGCCAACGGUAAACGCUGGGUAGCUAUGUAUGGAGUGGAUAACCGCUGAAAGCAUCUAAGUGGGAAGCCCACC
RNAcentral lists this ribosomal RNA (1224 nucleotides) under metagenome. Its description in RNAcentral is "bacterial LSU rRNA". It matches the Rfam family "Bacterial large subunit ribosomal RNA", at positions 1564 to 2798 of the family's 2925-position model. The record is from RNAcentral.